Molecule: long non-coding RNA, 203 nt
Filed under: Cyanistes caeruleus (blue tit)
Lineage: Eukaryota; Metazoa; Chordata; Aves; Passeriformes; Paridae
Description: lncRNA (ENSCCEG00000000955.1)
Source: RNAcentral
UCAGCAUAAUCUGGAGUUUGACUUUUCACCCAAAACAAAGCAAAAGUCCUUGAGCCUUUACAGAAGUUAGUGGCACGUGUCAUUUAACAGCAUCUGGGGUCCUGCUCAUCUCCUGUGUGUGAUCCAGAUGAAUCCACACCACUGAGUCAGCAGAGCCCGGUAGAUUUAUGUCAGAAAGAGGGUUUGCAGUUGUUCCUAAGAAA